AUAAGCUCAGGUGGUUAGAGCAUGGUGCUAAUAAUGCCAAAGUCGUGGGUUCAAUCCCCACAU
Molecule: transfer RNA, 63 nt
Filed under: Manacus vitellinus (golden-collared manakin)
Lineage: Eukaryota; Metazoa; Chordata; Aves; Passeriformes; Pipridae
Rfam family: tRNA
About the family: Transfer RNA (tRNA) molecules are approximately 80 nucleotides in length. Their secondary structure includes four short double-helical elements and three loops (D, anti-codon, and T loops).
Source: Rfam by way of RNAcentral